CCUACGGGAGGCAGCAGUGGGGAAUUUUGCGCAAUGGGGGCAACCCUGACGCAGCAACGCCGCGUGAGUGAUGAAGGCCUUCGGGUCGUAAAGCUCUGUCAGAGGGGAAGAAAUGCAGGUGGUGAACAACCAUUCUGUUUGACGGUACCCUCAAAGGAAGCACCGGCUAACUCCGUGCCAGCAGCCGCGGUAAUACGGAGGGUGCGAGCGUUGUUCGGAAUUAUUGGGCGUAAAGCGCGUGUAGGCGGUUUGUUAAGACUGAGGUGAAAGCCCCGGGCUCAACCGGGAAAGGGCAUUGGAUACUGGCAGACUUGAGGGCGGGAGAGGAGAGUGGAAUUCCCAGUGUAGGAGUGAAAUCCGUAGAUAUUGGGAGGAACACCGGUGGCGAAGGCGGCUCCCUGGACCGAUACUGACGCUGAGACGCGAAAGCGUGGGGAGCAAACGGGAUUAGAUCCCCUGGUAGU
RNAcentral lists this ribosomal RNA (464 nucleotides) under uncultured Geobacteraceae bacterium. RNAcentral's name for it is "partial 16S ribosomal RNA". It matches the Rfam family "Bacterial small subunit ribosomal RNA", at positions 338 to 794 of the family's 1533-position model. The record is from RNAcentral. Lineage: Bacteria; Pseudomonadati; Thermodesulfobacteriota; Desulfuromonadia; Geobacterales; Geobacteraceae.